Long non-coding RNA from Belonocnema kinseyi, 1896 nucleotides. RefSeq lists it as uncharacterized. The record is from RefSeq and is a predicted model, not a curated record. Lineage: Eukaryota; Metazoa; Arthropoda; Insecta; Hymenoptera; Cynipidae. The transcript has 4 exons.
CUUUUAUGAUUGGAAAGAUUGGAGUUAGAAAUCUGAAUUCACUGUUUAUUCUUACCCGCGGAAUUGUUUGACUAUGUGAGGGAUUUCCUUGCUUUUGCAAUGUGAAGUGUUUGUAUCAAAAUAAACAUCGAAGGUUAAAAUUUUGGUGAUGUAAUCCAAAGUUAUUAUGGCACCGCAUCUGAAAGUCAAAUCUACUAAAAUCACUAUUUUUGAUCGAGCAAAGGAAUUUGAAAAUGAAGGAAUGUAUUUUUUUGGACAAAAUUAAAAAAAUCAUGAUGUGUGGAAUUUGUAACAUCAUCGUUAAAUGGGAAAGAAAGUCCAUCAUAGAUUAUCACUGCAUCUCAGAAUCGCACAAAACAAAAAAGCUGAUAAAUGAAAAUAAAAGGAAGCAAAUAUCUAUCCAAGACUCAUUCGAGCAAUCAAAGAAGAACAAAACAUCCCUCUAGAGAAACUGGACGAUCCUGGUAUUCGUGAUUGGAUGAACAAAUACAUUAAAGGAUCUGGUGAUUUUCCAAGUGCAAAUUGAAUCAGAAAGCGUUAUGUUCCGCUUGUGAAAGAUGAGUUUGAAGAGAAACUGAAGGAAACGGUUAAAGAUAAACCUAUGAUUAUUCACUGCGAUGAAACUACUGAUCGAAAAGGUCAAGCGGUUUUUAUAACACUUUUUAAAAUUUUACCUAAUGAGUUUUGCGCUGAAUUAAAAUUAGUGGUAGCCGGAGUAACGGUCCUGAGUACCUGAAAUGCCCAACAAUGUUCACAGGCAAUCAUGAAGACCUUAACGAAAUACGACGUGCAAUAUAACCAUGUAAAAGGCAAAGCGUCGGAUAGUGCACCGUAUAUGACAAGUUGUGUGAACACUUUAAAAGGAAUAAUAAAUUCCGAUCUUGUACACAUACAAUGUUGGUCCCACAAGUUGGACAAGAUCACAAAAAUUUGCCAUGAAAAUUUCAUUCGUCUUAAUGAAUUUGUGUCGAAUACCAAGAAGCUUUUUUAAGAACACGAAAAACGCAAAUAUAGGUAUAUGGAAUAUCUAAAGACAAAAUAUUGCGAAAAUAAGAAGAAAGAUCCUAAAUUAUUUCCUCUGCCAGUAAUGACGAGAUGGGGUUCGUGGAAGAAGUCUUCAGAUUACGUAGAUGAAUAUGGAGACGAUAUAGCUGAAUAUGCUAAAACUGUAACUGAUGAUGUUGAAGCAGUGAAAUAUUUCAAUAAGCUCAGCUUAUUCUUCUUCUACUUGUGGAGGGAUCUAAGUACGCUAUGGCUCAAAUCUUUAUCCAAAUAUUCAAAUGCUAAAAUCUUCUUUUGAUUUCAUUAAAAGAGCAAAGAAAAUCAGCGUAGUCUUAGCAAAAGAAACUAGCACUUUAUUUCAGUUUUUAUCUGAGGAGAAAAGAAAAAACGUGGAAUAUCGCAUGAGAAAAAUCGCAAAAAUUAGUUCAGUGAAAAUUAAUGAACUAAUUGACAAAGAUCCAGCCAAAACUUUCUUUCAAGCUGCAGGAAAUCUGUUUUAUCCUGUUAAAGUAAGGAGUAAUGAUGAUCGUUCAGUCAUUGCUGCCAAGAAUAAUGCGAUUUUCUUCAACGAUAUACCGGACUCCCAAUUUCUAACUGUGUAGAGCAUAUUCAAAGACAAUUUAAAACAUUGUCUUGCCAAAGAACCUAAGCCUAAAGAGGAUCCUGUUCCUAAAAUUCUGAUGGGAAUGCAAGUAAAUCAUUCUCAGAUACCAAUACGAUGUCUUCAAGUGAUUUCCAUGUGAGUCUCAAGUGUAGACGCUGAGAGAGCCUUCUCUGCGUACGCAGAUAUUGUUUCUCCAAAACGCUGUAAUUUAAUUCCUGUAAAUGGAGAGACGAUGCUAAGCAUGUAUUUUGGAACCGACUUAGACUGAUUUUUUGUGAAGUUUUGAGAUU